This is a long non-coding RNA of Salvator merianae (Argentine black and white tegu), 5080 nucleotides long. Lineage: Eukaryota; Metazoa; Chordata; Lepidosauria; Squamata; Teiidae. The record is from Ensembl.
UUUCCCUCCUUCAGCCAAGAUCUUCUUGCGUCUCUCCGUGUUUAAUUUUUCUUUCUCCCUUUCCUCUCGUUUUGCAUGCUCUACUCAUUUUCCCCCCUGUUUUUCCCUUCUCAUAAGAAAGUGCUACUUCUUUUCCCUUUUUUUUUAAAAAAAAGAAGAAGAAGAGAAUGUUGUUUUUAUUGAGUGUUUUGAUUUAAAAUUGUUUGCUUUCCAUCUGGAAGGUUGAGAAGGGAUGCUCCAAUGGCUACCAAAAUGUAUGUCCUCAUCAGCUGGCCAGAUGGAAGCCGUGUUAUCAACAUUGAGAACAUCAAGGAACCCCGGAAGCCCUUCCACCUGUAUGCAGUUGGGGAACAGGUUUUGGCCCGAUGUCCAGGCUUCAGUGGUCUGUACUGGGGAGUUGUGGAAGGAAUAAGCGAGCAUAAAUGUAUCCUGGAGAAAAAGCUACAAGAAGAUAAAGAAAUCCUGGAUAGAUUAGAAGAGCAGCCAGCUGUGCAGAAUUUGGGGUCACCACAGCCAAGGAAGUCACGGAAGUCUUUUCCUAAAUGGAAUUCAGGCAACAGCUCGAGAAAUUGCCCCAGUGACGAAGCCAAGAUGACUGAAGAGGGUAGAGAGGCUGAUUGCCAACAUCAUCUUGCAUCCUUCUUGGACCCAAGAGAAGAAUGUGACAUGGGUAUCAUGAUGAGGUCUCAUCCGUCAAAGCCAAGGAUACCUCACAUGUCNAGUCCCUUUAAUGUGUCAUCUCACUUCCUAACAAUAUCCUCUUCUGGAACAUCCCAAAGAAGCACAACAAGACUCACUCCAGCUAUCAAAGAUUGCGCUGCCAUAGCAAAGAGGAAGAGAUUAGAUUAUCUCCCAGCCCAGUGUCAGAAACGCUUCGUUGUCAGCAGGGAAGAGAAAAUNGAGCAACUUGAGCGAAUGGUCUUCUCCCUUCGGCGAGAGGUCCUCUCCUUGAAGCAGAAAGUCCANCACCUUGAAGCUGGUUCCUUUAAGGACCAAGAGCCUUCCUGCCAACCUUGUGAAGUAUCUGAGUUGUUUAAUGGAUACACUAGGGAGGAACUCAAAGAGGCCAUUCGCUUUGACCAAAAGAUCAGCACUGCCUGCAAAACACUCCUCUACAAGCUUUUCACCUCUGACUAUAUACAAAGCCAUUCCAUCACUGGAAGACGGGGGAACACGUUCCGAGAGGCAAAGCCCAUGAUGGAUGAGAGGUGCAUCAAAAUAAUUAGGAUUUUGCUGAAGGAAAAAUUUGGGGACCAUCUCAGUGACACAGUCAUCACGGAGAAGAUCCAAAAUGUACAGAAAGCUCUCAGGCAGAAAUUUAAAAUGGAAUGUGCUUGAUCGUGACUCAUCCUAUUGCUGAAGACGUCGAAGUUGCAAACAGAAGAUGUCAGGCCUGGAAUUAGCCUGGGGCAAACUUCAAGAGACAGCAGAGGACAGAAGAGGUGGUGUGAUAUGGUCCAUAGGAUCACAAAAAGUCAAGCACAACUUAAUGACUCAACAACAACAACAACAACAACAAAUCAGUAGAGAGGAAGCAUACAAAGGAAACAGGGAGAAGAGAUGAACUACAAGGGAAAUGGUCCAAAUCAAACCAAUAGAGCUGAAGGAUUCAGAACAUACUUCAAAAAAUAAUUUAUAUACUAAGGCACUCCUGUUUGCCUAAUGCAUUUCAAGUAUAGCAAACUCUUCUGCAGAGACAGCUGGAGAACACUUCAGAAAGAUUAUUUAGCUGAAAAUAAUGCCAUGAGAUUUGAAGAGAGAUGUUUUUACACAUUGCAUCUUGAAAAUGACAUGGGAAUGUGUGGGUACUUUUCAUCUCUAGAGAACAUUAAUAAUGUGACCCUUAAUUUCAAAGGAUGCUGUGGCUUUUGUUGUGUUUUCUAUGCUUUGCAUUUUGGAACACAGAACAGUUUUUAAAUCAAUAACUAUGUUGUACAUAAAACACAAUAAGCAAGCUAAUGAACCUAUAAAUACUUGUUCUGCCCCUUGUGAAGUUCAGCUGCACUUAUUCUCUCUGGAACUGAAGUCCCUUGUCUUUUACUCUGUGUAGAAAGGGGGGGGGGUGUUGCAGUUUAUUUUCUUCCACUUGAAGCCCCAACCAAAGGUGUUUGGGAGCUACAGUGAGUGGCUGCUGGUAUGGGGCCUGGAGGACCNAAAGAGCAGGUCUCUGCAAUGCUGUGUAUGCAGUCCAAAUUCCNUGGCUGAGGAUAUGAAAUCAAUCUGGACGUCAGAUCACAUACAAUAUAUUUGGCCAGGGUUUGUUCAGCAUGUCAUUGAUGCGUUGGAUACCUGGUUUCACCAUGCUGAAACAGCCAUUAGAGAGUGACUUCAGAGUAGUUUGUCCUGCUCUUGCCAGAAGCUGCCAUAAUGGCUGUUGGGCUGGGAGACUGCCCAAUGGCAUGGGGGCAUUUUCCCAUCCAUCCCAAGUAGUGUUAGGGCUUCAUUCACACAUACUGAAGCAUGGAAGUGCCUCAAAAUUGCCUUAGGGUGCAAUCAAACAUGCUUAAAGAGGCACCCUCUGAGCGAAUUGAAGUUUCAUUUGGGGUUUCAUAGCUCUGAAGGUGUCUCUUUCUUUAAGCUGGGUUGGGCAGGAAACUACAUAAGCAAAGAGAUGAGGGUUUCCCAUUGAGCGCCCAAUCAGUGGGUAGCACCUGUAGUCAGGGUAGAUACUGCCUGAUGUGGAGGCAAAUUUAGACAGUAGUGUGGCAAAUUAAGGUAGGUUCUCAGCUGUAUAUUUGAACAACUGUACAGCCCUUCUUUUGUGAGUCUGGGAAUGGGAUGUUUUUUCUUAAAGGGAUGAUUGAAAAAAGCCCUGUCCACAGCCAAUGAACAAAAUAACCUUUCAACACCUGAAGCUCAUAGUCCAAAAUCACCACUUGAAGGCAAGGAUCAAAUGUAAAUACAGAAACUUCUGGCACUUUUCCAGGUGACAAAGAGAAGAAGGCAUCUGUUAGCUUUGGAGUCCAUGCAGAGUCUUGGUGUAGAGCAGGCCAUUCCAAUGUGGAUGCCUUGUUCCAUGCCAGGAGCAAUCCAUCCCAGCUUGAGAUAUACCACUUAUCCCAGUACAGUGCAGUCUGUCCUGUAUCAGAAUAGCAAUCCUAAGUACAGAAAUGCCCAAAAACAUUUAAUUUUAACUGCUUCCUCCAGAGUAGGCAAGUGUAGGUGAUNUGCACAAAGUUAUUUUUGUGGUUUGGUUCACAUCAAACCAAAGUGUGCCUGUGGACAGACUGGUUCAUAACAAACCUCAAGCCACCAAUUUCAUUUGAAAAGCAGGCUUGGUGGUUUGCAACCAAAUUUAUCAAACUCCACAUCCGGUUUUUGCCCUUCCUCCUUAGUUCCCCAUGCACAUGGACUACACUGAUUACCUUGCAGUCAGCCCUGAUUCUGUCACGGCUGACCCCAUCGUGUUCCCAACCUCACCCCCUUUUUCCCAGCAUGCAUCAUCUCCACCUAUUGCAUCAGUGGCUUCUCCCUAUUGUAUCCAUGCCCUCCUUUUCUUUUUUUGUCCUAUCUCCUAGGUAGCCCAGGUGCAUGAUUCUUCAGCAGUCCAACUGGCUGCUUUCCCAGCCUACUNGGUCUUCCAGAAUAGAGGACCAUGGUCCUCCCAGCAGGCCAAGCNUGACUNGAAUGAGAUUGGUUUCUCAUCUAUCCAUAGGUUGCAGGAAAACAGCCCACCUCUCACUCCGGCAGUGGACCCCCACACUCCCACCACAUGGCAGUGUGGACACCACCUUAGACUAAAUUUUAUUGAUUUGCUUAAAAAUGUUAGUGUGAAAAUUUCUCCCCCAUCUCCNCUUGAGCCUUCCCUCUAAAAGGUAUCCUUCACUUCCAAAACAUCUAGUGGGCAUCUAGUUAGAAAAAGGUGACCUAAGGUGCAAAGUUAUAUAUCACAGGCACAUGUCUAAUAGGUGGCUAGGAAACGCCAUUAAAAGCAUCCAACGAAAUAGUUGUUUUCCAUCCGUCAGUUUUGUGCUUAUCAGUGUUAAUGGUGCAUACUUUUGACUAAGCAUUUAAGCAAUUUCAUGCUAGCAGAACCGUGUUCAGCCUUCAGUCUCUUGACUACAAGAUAAAAGUAACAGAUGGCACAUUGGAAGGGUCUGCUUCUCUGUUUAGUGAUGUUUGCAUGUUUGAUAAUACACAGUGCCAUUAAUCAAAGACAUUUUUGCCAGAACAAGCAGUAAGUUUCAUUUCACAAUGUGAAAAAGUGGGGGGAUGGGGGAAGGACCUGACUGCAGCCAAGGAUCUGUCUGUAAUGCCUGGGAUUUAAAUCCAUAAAAUUCUGAUCUAUUUAAACCCUGUGUCAGUGUCGAUGUCAGUAAGCGAAGGGGAAAGAGAUAGAGGCGGUAUCUCCAUAUCCAGGGGGGGUAUGCAUGCUAGUGGCUGACUCCACAGAACCAUCUUUGCUGCCAUGUCACUUGGUGAUUCAUCAGGUCCACUUUGCACAGACACCACACAAUGUGGCAGGCGAAGCACUGCUUCGGAGAGUGUGAUUUUGCCCCCUCCUCCAGACAUUUUGAUUAGGUGCCACAUUCCAUGGGAUGUGCAUCGUGUCACCAAUAGAUAGAUAGAUAGAUAGAUAGAUAGAUAGAUAGAUAGAUAGAUGAGGUAUGCACAGACAGUGGAGGUGAGAACAAAACACAGCAUCUCCAGCAGGCCCAUGUAUUGGCCCCCAGUUAUCUUAAGGAAUGCCUUCCCCUAUAUAGACCUGCCCAAGCACUGAGAUCUCAAAGAGAGGGCCUUCUUGUAGUUCCUCCUCUCACAGAGGUGUAAGGGGUAAGGAUACACAAAAGGGCCUUUUCUGUGGUGGCUCCCAGAUUUUGGAACAGUCUACCUCUGGAGGUUCACCAGGUGCCUACAUUACAUGGUUUGGGGUGCCUGGUUAAAACAUACCUCUUCACCCAGGCCUUUGUUGUUUAGUGUAGUCCUGUCAGGGNGGGAGAGUGGGUUAUAUUUUAAAUAUAUUUUAGCAAUAAUCUAUGUGUUUUAUCUUUGUUAUUGUUGUGACCAGCCCUGGGACCUUAUGGUGGAGGGUGGGAUAUAAAUUCUUAAAUAAAAUAAAUAAAAUAAUUCUACCGAAGCA